GGUGCCGCUGCUGUUGUUGUUGCUGCUGCUGCCGCUGCGUCUGGUUGCUGGCUGGGCGGUUGUCAUCCAGGGCUCACAUCCAGACAAAGAUGACUCAAGCAAACAGAUCUUUGGUGAGUAGGCGGGAACGCUUCCAGGGGUUUGGAGAAAGUGAAAUCUCGUCAGCCAAUCAGGAACCCGCCCACAUUCGUCGAUCUCCUGGAGAAGUGUGACGUCAAAACGAAGAAGAAGAAAAGGAAUCGGUGGCAUUCUUCAUCUGGACAAGCUGCAUUGCUCCUUUCACUAGUUCACCAAAUCAAUAAUAAUAUUAACAAUAAUGAUAAUAAUAGCUGGCGACCAAUCCACGGUAUAGUCCGCCUUUCAGUCGAAGUUGGCUGGGAUAGUCUCCAGCUCUCCCGCGACCCUUAUGGCGGGAAAAUGGAUGGAUAAAUUGAUAAUAAUAAUGAUGAUUAUUAUGACUAGUAGUAUUAUUAUGAAAAUCAUAAUAACUAUAUUAUUAAUAAUGAACAUCUAAUAUUAUUAAAAUAAAUGCUUGAAUAAUAAUUAUUGUAAUAUUGUUCAUGUCCAUUAGCCAAUCCGCUUAUCCUCACAAGGGUUGUGAGGAUCUUGGCUUUGUCAAACUAAACAUAAACAAAGAAAAUUUACACAUUGUGUAUUUAAAUGCCCUCUACCUUAAUACUAGCAUUAAUGGAAAAUACAUAUAGACCUGCUACAAAUAGCAUCUCCUGUAUCUGGCGGUAUUAUAAUUUAGGCAACGGCUAUGUGAAAACCAACAGUGCAGCAACACAUGUGCAAAACAAAAAGUUGUGAGGAUGAGGUCGUCAGUACCUAUCCCAGAUAACAUUGGGCAAAAGGCAGACGACACCCUGAACUGGUCGCCAGUCAUUCAAUCGCAGGGCAUAUAUCCACACCAUCACUGAGAGGGAAUUGAUCCCGACCAAAGUCAUACGUGUAUAAUUACACUAUCAGCGUAUCUUUAUUAUAUUGUAUCUUUCCAUUUAUCUGUUUGGAUUUUUACAUUUAUAAUUAGGUACAAGUGGGCACUACAUUUUUAUCACUUGUCUGACUGCACCACCUAUUGGUAAGAGUCGUUACUCAAACAAAGGAUUGGAAAACAAAUUUUAAACGUGCUACAAAUACAUAUCAUUUUGAUUUAAGAAAAGGACAACGUGUAUUUUUUUUUUUACAGUAUUUGUUUCUGUAAAUAUAAAAUGAAGGAGAGGAACUUUUACUGUUUGCUGUCUUUUGCAAGUAAGCUUUGCUGUCGAUGGAGGGCAGCAUUUGCAAAAGAAUGAGCACGUCAUAUAUGAACCCUGCUGGGCCCCACUUGUUGAGAAAUGAAAUGAAAUCAAAUAAACAUAAGAGCGUAAUAUAGCAGUGCAGUUAGGUUUAGGGAAGGAUACAUAUCGAGUGAUUGUUCAACUGCGCAAAGGGACAUUGAAAUCCCUUCUCUAAUAAAAUCACCACAACUGGAAAAAAGGUGCAAAACUAUGGAAGUAGAUUAGUUCCACCAGGAUUUGAAUUUGAAAUGUAAAGUGAUCGCAUUUUCAAUAGUUUCUACAAUGGAUAGGUUUCCAAUUACGCCAUCUUGUGUGUCAUAGAGAUAAGACAACACGUGUGAUAGGUGAAGCUAAAGUUUUUUUCUAUCGUUAAUUUAUCCGAUUGGUCUAAGGGUGGUGGUGACGUCAUUUGAAAUCUAUCCAUUCGCUGUCUAAAAUUCACCCUCUGUGCCACCAGACAGAACACUCAGCCAAUCGUAGUUACGCUUUCUUAGUCACAUGACUUCACAUACUAUGAAAGCGUAACUGGAUUGGGUGGGUGUUCGGUUGUGACCUGAAGUAACCCUGCCUACUGGUACAGACGGUGAAUUUUAGACAGCGAAUUGUAGCCAAAUUGAAUUAACAUUGAAAAGUUACACUGAAAUACAACUAUUGAAAAUGUGACCACUUUACGUUUCAAAUUCAAAUCCUGGUGGCACUAAUCUACUUCCAUACAAAACAUUGUUUUACGCUUUGUACUCAAGUUUCUAGGGAGUAAGCAGGUCAAUCUCUUAUUUGUUCAGAUUUAAGCUUUUUUUUUUUCUUCCUUUCUCUACCAAUCUGCAAUAAAUGUACUGUGAAUUCAUCUGUUCCAGGACAAAAAAAAUGCAACCUCCACCUCACAAUCAUGUAUUUCAUUUAUCAUCAAUCACCACAUUUGAUGCUCUUUAAACUAUUCAAACCUGAUUUUGCUAGCUAGCUAGUUGCUAAAUAACCCAUUAGCAAGCUAACUGUAACGCACAAGAUGACAAUUUAUUUCCUUGGAUGACCUAUUUUUGUGACUCACAUAAAGAUUCUGCUCUGCCACUGAUCUUGAAUCUCAUCCACCAUGACCAAAAUCUCACACGAUUAAAUGUGAUCUAACAAAAUUCAAGCUUCAUUUGGGUAAAAAUGACAACUGAGAUGAAUGAUUUUUGUCCCUUUCAAAAGCAUGAUUAACAGGCUAAUAAAACAGUUA
Molecule: long non-coding RNA, 2496 nt
Organism: Syngnathoides biaculeatus (alligator pipefish)
Lineage: Eukaryota; Metazoa; Chordata; Actinopteri; Syngnathiformes; Syngnathidae
Exons: 3
Source: RefSeq, a predicted model, not a curated record